Molecule: long non-coding RNA, 430 nt
Filed under: Brassica rapa (field mustard)
Lineage: Eukaryota; Viridiplantae; Streptophyta; Magnoliopsida; Brassicales; Brassicaceae
Description: long non-coding RNA (BRAP_LNC001374)
Source: RNAcentral
CCUACAUCAAUUCUUUGAGCCACCUUAUACCACAAAUUCACAUAUCCUCGUCACUCGUACAAUCGCCUACGCUAGCUCUGAGCAAUCAUCCCUUGAACAGUGAUUCAUCACCAUUAUCAUCAACAAAACCACCACUGUUCAUGUUGCAACAGUCAACAGUAACUUGGCUUUUUCAUCAACUUAACUCCCAUUCCAUCAGUGGCAGAAUGAGGACCUCCUACUAUCAAUACAGAAGCAACCAUAUACACAAGAAGCACCACAAGAUGCUCCGAGACACUCCAUGACAACUAGUUCAGGAAACUUUUUGGUUUUUUUUUUUGGUUUUUUUUUUAAAAUUUUAUCUUAAAAUCCAAAAUUCUUUUUAAACUACUUUCUAAUUAUUAUUUUAAAUUCUACAAUCUUAAUUUUUUUUUAAAUCCUAAACCCAACC